RNAcentral lists this small RNA (567 nucleotides) under uncultured Chroococcidiopsis sp. Its description in RNAcentral is "bacterial LSU rRNA". It matches the Rfam family "Bacterial large subunit ribosomal RNA", at positions 323 to 887 of the family's 2925-position model. Lineage: Bacteria; Bacillati; Cyanobacteriota; Cyanophyceae; Chroococcidiopsidales; Chroococcidiopsidaceae. The record is from RNAcentral.
CGGUAACUAGACGAAGUAGCUAGAGAACUGCACCCGAGAAGGUGAAAGUCCUGUAGUCGAAAGUGGCACGAUACUAGCUGUAUCCCGAGUAGCAUGGGGCAGGUGAAAUCCCAUGUGAAUCCGCGAGAACCAUCUCGUAAGGCUAAAUACUCCUGUGUGACCGAUAGUGAACCAGUACCGCGAGGGAAAGGUGAAAAGAACCCCGAUAAGGGGAGUGAAAUAGAACAUGAAACCGUUAGCUUACAAGCAAUGGAAGGACGAUUCAACGUCUGACCGUGUGCCUGUUGAAGAAUGAGCCGGCGAGUUACAGGUCGUGGCAGGUUAAGACUUAACUGUCGAAAAGCCAAAGCGAAAGCGAGUCCUAAUAGGGCGAAUAUUGUCACGAUUUGUAGACCCGAACCCGGGUGAUCUAACCAUGUCCAGGAUGAAGCUUGGGUAAAACCAAGUGGAGGUCCGAACCGACCGAUGUUGAAAAAUCGGCGGAUGAGGUGUGGUUAGGGGUGAAAUGCCAAUCGAACCCGGAGCUAGCUGGUUCUCCCCGAAAUGUGUUGAGGGUCGACGCGGCCG